Molecule: ribosomal RNA, 242 nt
Filed under: uncultured bacterium
Lineage: Bacteria
Description: partial 16S ribosomal RNA
Rfam family: Bacterial small subunit ribosomal RNA
Source: RNAcentral
CGACCGGCGCACGGGUGAGUAACGCGUAUACAAUUUGCCUUUUACUGGAGGAUAGCCAAGAGAAAUUUUGAUUAAUACUCCAUAGUAUUAUUAGACCACCUGGUUUGAUAAUUAAAGCUCCGGCGGUAAAAGAUGAGUAUGCGUCCUAUUAGCUAGAUGGUAAGGUAACGGCUUACCAUGGCGACGAUAGGUAGGGGUCCUGAGAGGGAGAUCCCCCACACUGGUACUGAGACACGGACCAG